GCGGCAGGUUGCCAAAUAAUUGUGGAGUACUGGGCGUACUUUUGAUCGCCUGGUUUGGAGCUAUUUUGGGCUUAUGGGCCUUCGCCCUCUACACAACCUUCCAGCCCAUUUAUUUUGGGCUUUGCCAUUUUUUUUUUUUUACCCUCUGAUGGGUUUUAUACAGAUGUCUCCGAAAGAUAGGAAAAAUGAAUUACAUCAUACAAAAAUAAAGGUUUCGACAGUUGCCAUCCUCAUCAUGGUUGUGGACUACACCACCCCACUAUGCAUCCCAUUAAUAUUAUUUGCCUUUGCUUUUGUUUACUUUCUCUUUUCUUUUUCUUUUUUCUUUUCACUUUUGCUUUGCACUUCUGUCUAUGCUUUUCUCUAGACAUCAUUCUACUUUUUCUAACAGUUAUGGCUGGUCUUGGUUUGAAGCUAUGAUCAAUGGUGAUGCAUACAAAAAUGUAGAAGAAAAACAAAGCGAGGAAUGUAUACAUAGAAUUACUGGGACACUAGAGUUGAGCAGCGCCAGAGGGCUGGCUUACCACUUUUAUCCGCCCGAGGUGUGUUUGCAAGCAUUUCAGGAGAGUCAACAAGGGCAGUCAAGCGGUGAAUUAAUGUUGUGGACAGAGUGCAGCAUGAUUCUAUGCAAGUUAACAGUUUUGAGAUACCUGAUGUCGUAGUUGACAGUUCAAAAGGAGACGGUUGUGUCUUACCUUAUGUUUCUGACCUCCCUGAUAUUUCUCCUCGUGGCAUGCUGAUGAAAGGCCUUGGUUUUGCUCCAUAUGUGGUUUUAUGCCACCAACAAUGUAUCGCCAAAAGUGUCUUCAAGAAUCAACGACUUUAUUCUCUACUUCUGGUGGUAGUUUCAAGAUGCAAAUCUCAGCGUCGUCCAUGUCGGACUGUUAACGCCGGGAGUUAGAGCACCGACUACCAUGGUG
Molecule: long non-coding RNA, 920 nt
Filed under: Malus domestica (apple)
Lineage: Eukaryota; Viridiplantae; Streptophyta; Magnoliopsida; Rosales; Rosaceae
Description: long non-coding RNA (MDOM_LNC016185)
Source: RNAcentral